Molecule: ribosomal RNA, 478 nt
Filed under: uncultured bacterium
Lineage: Bacteria
Description: partial 16S ribosomal RNA
Rfam family: Bacterial small subunit ribosomal RNA
Source: RNAcentral
GACGAACGCUGGCGGCAUGCCUAACACAUGCAAGUCGAGCGAGCAGAUCCCUUCGGGGUGAAGCUAGCGGCGGACGGGUGAGUAACACGUGGGCAACCUGCCUCAUAGAGGGGAAUAGCCUUCCGAAAGGAAGAUUAAUACCGCAUAAGAUUGUAGCUUCGCAUGAAGUAGCAAUUAAAGGAGCAAUCCGCUAUGAGAUGGGCCCGCGGCGCAUUAGUUAGUUGGUGAGGUAACGGCUCACCAAGGCGACGAUGCGUAGCCGACCUGAGAGGGUGAUCGGCCACAUUGGGACUGAGACACGGCCCAGACUCCUACGGGAGGCAGCAGUGGGGAAUAUUGCACAAUGGGGGAAACCCUGAUGCAGCAAUGCCGCGUGAGUGAUGACGGCCUUCGGGUUGUAAAGCUCUGUCUUCGGGGACGAUAAUGACGGUACCCGAGGAGGAAGCCACGGCUAACUACGUGCCAGCCGCCGCGAUAA